Molecule: ribosomal RNA, 506 nt
Filed under: uncultured bacterium
Lineage: Bacteria
Description: partial 16S ribosomal RNA
Rfam family: Bacterial small subunit ribosomal RNA
Source: RNAcentral
AGUGAACGCUGGCGGUAGGCCUAACACAUGCAAGUCGAACGGCAGCACAGGAGAGCUUGCUCUCUGGGUGGCGAGUGGCGGACGGGUGAGGAAUACAUCGGAAUCUACUCUGUCGUGGGGGAUAACGUAGGGAAACUUACGCUAAUACCGCAUACGACCUACGGGGGAAAGCAGGGGACCUUCGGGCCUUGCGCGAUUGAAUGGGCCGAUGUCGGAUUAACUAGUUGGCGGGGUAAAGGGCCACCCAGGCGACGAUCCGUAGCUGGUCUGAAAGGAUGAUCAGCCCCACUGGAAAUUAGAAACGGUCCAGACUCCCUCGGGGGGCAACAGUGGGGAAUAUUGGACAAUGGGCGCAAGCCUGAUCCAGCCAUACCGCGUGGGUGAAGAAGGCCUUCGGGUUGUAAAGCCCUUUUGUUGGGAAAGAAAUCCAGCUGGCUAAUACCCGGUUGGGAUGACGGUACCCAAAGAAUAAGCACCGGCUAACUUCGUGCCAGCCGCCGCAGUAA